AGAGAGUUAGAAUCUCUCUCCCCUCAAGCCCUAGGUUUUCGACGAUAGUCUUAAGCACGUCUGAGUUAUUUGGUACCUAACCUUUAAUUAGGGAUGGUUUUGUCAAUCAGGAAAUAAAAGUACCAUACUUAAACCGACACUGGUGGGCUAGAACUUGAAUGUUCGCAGGGG
This is a non-coding RNA of Rhizoclosmatium globosum, 171 nucleotides long. The record is from Rfam. NCBI's taxonomy places the organism in Eukaryota, Fungi, Chytridiomycota, Chytridiomycetes, Chytridiales, Chytriomycetaceae.